AUGGCUGUGGUUAUGUUAACCCAGCCAAGUUCUGCCUGUGCAGAGCCAGGGAGUUCCAUUACCCUGGACUGUGUCGUGUCUGGGAAUAACAUCAAUGACCACCAUCUCCACUGGGUCCGUCAGGCCCCUGGGAAAGGUCUGGUCUGGGUCACAGCUUUCAGAACAGGUUUUACCACCAUCACUGCUAACGAAUUCAAAGGACGGGUCACCCCCUCCACCAGCGGCUCCACUGCCAGGCUAAAGAUAGACAGACUGACAGCUGCAGACACGGCUACCUACUACUGUGCACGAGAAACACAGUGCUCGCUUCCCAGCUUCUUCUCCUACAGUAACCUCUGGGGCAAGGGGUUCGUCUCACUGAGCACAUCUCUCUGCAUGAAAUUCAGCCCUCUGCCACAGCCUGCACAUUGCAAGAGUCCCAAUGCAGCCCUCAAAAUGAGACCCUGGGGUUAA
Molecule: non-coding RNA, 453 nt
Organism: Gopherus evgoodei (Goodes thornscrub tortoise)
Lineage: Eukaryota; Metazoa; Chordata; Testudines; Testudinidae
Source: the annotation of a RefSeq genome assembly